RNAcentral lists this ribosomal RNA (365 nucleotides) under uncultured bacterium. RNAcentral's name for it is "bacterial SSU rRNA". It matches the Rfam family "Bacterial small subunit ribosomal RNA", at positions 28 to 418 of the family's 1533-position model. The record is from RNAcentral.
GAUGAAUGCUAGCGGCGUGGAUAAGGCAUGCAAGUCGGAGUGGGUUUAGACCCACGGCAAACGAGGUAGUAAUACGCAGGUACUCACCGAAAAGUCGAGCAUAUACCGUCGAAAGGCGGAGCAAAUUCUCGAUAGUCCCUCCGGGUAAAGGAGCAAUCCGCUUUUUGAGAGGCCUGUGGCGCAUCAGGGUAGUUGGUAGGGUAAUGGCCUACCAAGCCUACGACGCGUAGGGGAGCUGAGAGGCUGACCCCCACCGAUGGAACGGAGACACGGUCCAUACACCUACGGGUGGCUGCAGUCGAGAAUAUUUUGGGCAAUGGGGCGCAAGCCUGACCAUGCGACGCCGCGUGGUUGAUGAAGUCCUU